RNAcentral lists this unclassified non-coding RNA (253 nucleotides) under Fusarium sp. RNAcentral's name for it is "partial contains 5.8S ribosomal RNA, internal transcribed spacer 2, and large subunit ribosomal RNA". The record is from RNAcentral. Lineage: Eukaryota; Fungi; Ascomycota; Sordariomycetes; Hypocreales; Nectriaceae.
CGCACAUUGCGCCCCUUGGUAUUCCGGGGGGCAUGCCUGUUCGAGCGUCAUUUCAACCCUCAAGCCCCCGGGCUUGGUGUUGGGGAUCGGCGAGUCCUAGGACCAGCCGGCCCCUAAAUCUAGUGGCGGUCUCGCUGCAGCCUCCAUUGCGUAGUAAUAAACCCUCGCUACUGAGACCUGCUGUGUGCUCGCCAGCAACCCCUUAUUUAUCAUGGUUGACCUCGGAUCAGGUAGGGAUACCCGCUGAACUUAA